AGGAUUCCCCUAGUAACUGCGAGUGAAGCGGGAAAAGCUCAAAUUUAAAAUCUGGCGGUCUUUGGCUGUCCGAGUUGUAAUCUAGAGAAGUGUUACCCGCGCUGGACCGUGUACAAGUCUCCUGGAAUGGAGCGUCAUAGAGGGUGAGAAUCCCGUCUUUGACAUGGACUACCAGKGCUUUGUGGUGCGCUCUCAAAGAGUCGAGUUGUUUGGGAAUGCAGCUCAAAAUGGGUGGUAAAUUCCAUCUAAAGCUAAAUAUUGGCGAGAGACCGAUAGCGAACAAGUACCGUGAGGGAAAGAUGAAAAGAACUUUGGAAAGAGAGUUAAACAGUACGUGAAAUUGCUGAAAGGGAAACGCUUGAAGUCAGUCGCGUCGACCAGGAAUCAACCUUGCUCUUU
This 399-nucleotide ribosomal RNA is filed under the name Stagnicola perplexa. RNAcentral's name for it is "LSU rRNA". It matches the Rfam family "Eukaryotic large subunit ribosomal RNA", at positions 71 to 463 of the family's 3401-position model. Lineage: Eukaryota; Fungi; Basidiomycota; Agaricomycetes; Agaricales; Mythicomycetaceae. The record is from RNAcentral.